RNAcentral lists this ribosomal RNA (477 nucleotides) under uncultured organism. RNAcentral describes it as "partial 16S ribosomal RNA". It matches the Rfam family "Bacterial small subunit ribosomal RNA", at positions 330 to 798 of the family's 1533-position model. The record is from RNAcentral.
CGUACACUCCUACGGGAGGCAGCAGUGGGGAAUUUUGGACAAUGGGCGAAAGCCUGAUCCAGCCAUGCCGCGUGCAGGAUGAAGGCCUUCGGGUUGUAAACUGCUUUUGUACGGAACGAAACGGCCUUUUCUAAUAAAGAGGGCUAAUGACGGUACCGUAAGAAUAAGCACCGGCUAACUACGUGCCAGCAGCCGCGGUAAUACGUAGGGUGCAAGCGUUAAUCGGAAUUACUGGGCGUAAAGCGUGCGCAGGCGGUUAUGUAAGACAGUUGUGAAAUCCCCGGGCUCAACCUGGGAACUGCAUCUGUGACUGCAUAGCUAGAGUACGGUAGAGGGGGAUGGAAUUCCGCGUGUAGCAGUGAAAUGCGUAGAUAUGCGGAGGAACACCGAUGGCGAAGGCAAUCCCCUGGACCUGUACUGACGCUCAUGCACGAAAGCGUGGGGAGCAAACAGGAUUAGAAACCCCAGUAGUCCCAU